UCCUGCUGCGGGACUGUACUAGUACAAUUUAUGAAAAUAAAGUCUGAAGCAGCUUCAUGUAGUCGCAUCACACCCAUGGUGAACGGCGAUGACACUUGGCUGGCCCCUGUGAUUUACUUAGCAUCUAGCUUGUUCCAGGUCCUCUGUGCAGCAUGGCAGCCCCAGACAUAAAUGGGAAUGGAUUCCGACGUGUCCAGACAGUGGAAAGAGACACAUGUGGAGCAAAAACACAUGGAUUCUACAGGUACACCCAACAUGAGGCUCGAACUCACAAUCCUG
This is a long non-coding RNA of Suricata suricatta (meerkat), 279 nucleotides long. RefSeq lists it as uncharacterized. NCBI's taxonomy places the organism in Eukaryota, Metazoa, Chordata, Mammalia, Carnivora, Herpestidae. The transcript is spliced from 3 exons. The record is from RefSeq and is a predicted model, not a curated record.